AAUUAAUUAAGGUCAUCUUGCCAUAAAGUAGGGACAUCAACCUGGUCCACCACUUUAACAUUUUUACAAGAAUGUCGGAUUAGUAUACUCUGGUUCUAAAUCCUAAUCUAAAAUAGCAGCUACAGUUUACAUCGUCGAUUGAUCCUCCAUCAAUCGAUCUUAUCUAUAAUUAAUAUUUUUUAAUGAGAUGGAAACAUAAACAACUAAAUACCGGUUAGUCAAUGAUCUGUCACGUGUAAGGAUUUAGCUGAUAUGAAGAUCCGUAUAGAAUUCGCACGCUCACCCAAUAAUUAACAAUUGUGAUAGCUUGAAAAAGGAUAGCAAGGUUCCUUCUUAUCUCUAUAAAAUGAAGCUCAACCCAGCAACUAUAUUACACCUCCUAGUUAGGUCUCUUCCUCAAAAGAUCAGGAACCAAAGAGAUAUUGAACAACCAUGGUCGAAGAUGGCGAGGGAUGUAUUUGACAUGUUUUGAUGAUACGGGUGAGUGGAUUCCAUGCUAUGCUUGUCAAAUGAGCAGUCCCUUGCAAAUUAAUCUUAGUUUCGUUGUCUGUUCGACCUGAAACUACGGUAAAGGCUAGGUAUAUAGUACCCCUCACAACCCUAAUUAGAAGGUAAUCGUGUUUUUUUUUUAUAUAGAUUAAUCAACUUGAUUGACCAUCUAACAAAUUAAACAAGGCAGCUUCGUAUUAGAUAACUAUAUAUUGAGUAGCAUCUUGGUAUUUGACCCAGUAACCUAAAUUAUAGAGUUACUUUAAUGCAUAAAAUAGUCAAUAACCUAGAAAGAAGAACGUAAAUUAAAACUCCCAAUCUUAAUCCUGUUUAUGCAUUUAUUGGAUAAUUCAUUUGGAAAGCGGUUUAGGUAUAUCUUUUGGCUCCUUCUUUUCCUUUCGAAAUAUGAAGAAGAAAGCAAUUGAAAAUAUAGUAAUAGGCUGGCUAUCCCUUUUGCGGUAAUCUAACAUAACUUUGAUAGUCGUUGGACUUUUACCCUAGUUUUUGCAGUUGCAGCUGCCCGGUAUCGAUUUUUCAGGUGUACGUAGGUUACACACCCAAACCCAGUCCAAAAAGUAGGCAGGCUUAUGAUCUUUUUGUUUUUCCAAGACAUAUAGUCAUCUUUAAUAUCAAAUACCUGAACUCACUCUACUAAUUAAAUUGGAUGUGAAACCAAUCUAGUUACCAAAUUAGAUUAAGUUGCUUCCACAGUAGCAUUUUCUUGCUUUCGAACUGCAGAAUAAUUAGCAUAAGCCGCAUAGGUACAUCCUUAAUUAGAAAAAUAAUGUGGCUAGGAGAGACCUAGUAGUGACUAGCUAGCUAGUCUGCUACCUGGAAUGUUGAUAGGUCGAACAGACAACGAACCUGAUGUAUAAAGCAAUUAGAGACUGUUCAUUUGACAAGGGUUUGCAUGGAAUUCAACAUCUUGAUUCUUGACCUAGAUGUUUUCAUAUGAAGUUUAUUAAUUAGGAAGCAGAUCAACUUUCAUCAAAAAGGUGAUCGUGUCCAGGUAAUUCACUUAGUCUUUCUUAGCUAGUCUAAUCUAAUCAACUUUUCCCUUCUUUCUUCAAAUGAAUAUGAUAUUUCUUGACAAAUUCCAACAUGUGCUUUGUGACGAUGGAGGCUCAACUGCCAGUGAAGGGACGAUGGAGGAUCAAGAUCAGUUACUACGUAGAGGCUCCAUUUGAUACGAAUGCCAAUAUUUUAGAGCGAAGGGUCAAACGGUCCACUACUAUAUAUCAUCUGCAGAACACGAUGAAUAUUAUGGUGGUUUUAAUCAUAAAUUGUAUCAGUGUAAUUAAAAGUAGAACAUAAGUAAUUUAAUUUUGUCAACAUUAUAAUGUGAAAUUCUUGUAUUUUUAUUUGUUAACCAUUAUAUAACGUGAAAUUCAUAAA
Molecule: long non-coding RNA, 1884 nt
Organism: Pyrus x bretschneideri (Chinese white pear)
Lineage: Eukaryota; Viridiplantae; Streptophyta; Magnoliopsida; Rosales; Rosaceae
Exons: 2
Source: RefSeq, a predicted model, not a curated record